GACUGUACAUGGUUCUCUGGGGGAAAAGUGAAGAGACAAAGGUUGCAGCAGUAGAUGUUGAGGAGAACAAACAGCCAUUAGUAACUUCCUUUAACAAGUGACUAGUGAAUGGAGGUUGAAAUGAACCAGAUGAUAAUGCAUUAGUGAAGAAAUUGAGAUGUGGAAUGCUGACACAGACUGGAGAUUUUGAUGAUUCUAGAGUUGAAAUUCUUAGCUUCCACAAUUAAUGAUUCGUUACACUAGUACAUCACUACCUGUAACAUCACCAAGUUUUCUUUUUGGACGUCUCUGUAAUCCCGUUAGAAUUUGGCAGUACAAACAAAUGUAAUCCAAAAUCCAAUAAUCACAAACCAUAGUAAGAAGAACAUAGUAUGGCUUGUUGUUUUACUAAUUCUGUUAAGAAGAAGUCUUGGCGGGAAAAGAAGUAAAUUGACAUGCUGGUUCUAUACAAUAUUUUUUGAACAAAUGUUAUUUUUACUAUAAUUUAC
This 488-nucleotide long non-coding RNA is filed under the name Linum usitatissimum (flax). Its description in RNAcentral is "long non-coding RNA (LUSI_LNC001698)". The record is from RNAcentral. Lineage: Eukaryota; Viridiplantae; Streptophyta; Magnoliopsida; Malpighiales; Linaceae.